This 466-nucleotide ribosomal RNA is filed under the name uncultured bacterium. Its description in RNAcentral is "bacterial SSU rRNA". It matches the Rfam family "Bacterial small subunit ribosomal RNA", at positions 338 to 795 of the family's 1533-position model. The record is from RNAcentral.
CCUANGGGUGGCAGCAGUGAGGAAUCUUGCGCAAUGGGGGCAACCCUGACGCAGCAACGCCGCGUGAGUGAGGAAGGUCUUCGGAUCGUAAAGCUCUGUCAGUUGGGAAGAACUACCUAAGGGUGAAUAUCUCUUAGGCUUGACGGUACCAACAGAGGAAGCACCGGCUAACUCCGUGUCAGCAGCCGCGGUAAUACGGGGGGUGCAAGCGUUGUUCGGAAUUAUUGGGCGUAAAGAGCGUGUAGGCGGCCUGAUGUGUCAGAUGUGAAAGCCCUGGGCUUAACCCAGGAAGUGCAUUUGAAACUGUCAGGCUUGAGUAGGGGAGAGGGAAGUGGAAUUCCUGGUGUAGAGGUGAAAUUCGUAGAUAUCAGGAGGAACACCGGUGGCGAAGGCGACUUCCUGGCCCUAUACUGACGCUGAGACGCGAGAGCGUGGGUAGCAAACAGGAUUAGAUACCCUANUANUC